UGGCUCAGGAUGAACGCUGGCGGCGUGCUUAACACAUGCAAGUCGAACGGGAUCCCUGGCAGCUUGCUGUCGGGGUGAGAGUGGCGAACGGGUGAGUAAUGCGUGACCAACCUGCCCUGUGCACCGGAAUAGCUCCUGGAAACGGGUGGUAAUACCGGAUGCUCCGCUCCAUCGCAUGGUGGGGUGGGAAAUGCUUUUGCGGCAUGGGAUGGGGUCGCGUCCUAUCAGCUUGUUGGCGGGGUGAUGGCCCACCAAGGCGUUGACGGGUAGCCGGCCUGAGAGGGUGACCGGCCACAUUGGGACNAGAUCGGCCCAG
RNAcentral lists this ribosomal RNA (316 nucleotides) under Bifidobacterium animalis. RNAcentral's name for it is "bacterial SSU rRNA". It matches the Rfam family "Bacterial small subunit ribosomal RNA", at positions 20 to 334 of the family's 1533-position model. The record is from RNAcentral. Lineage: Bacteria; Bacillati; Actinomycetota; Actinomycetes; Bifidobacteriales; Bifidobacteriaceae.